GCCGGGUGUGGUGGCGCACGCCUGUGAUCUCAGCUACUCAGGAGGCUGAGGCAGGAGAAUAGCUUGAACCUGGGAGAUGGAGGUUGCAGUGAGCCGGGAUCACGCCACUGCACUCCAGCCUGGGUAACAGAGCAAGACUCUGUCUCAA
RNAcentral lists this non-coding RNA (148 nucleotides) under Nomascus leucogenys (northern white-cheeked gibbon). The record is from Rfam by way of RNAcentral. Lineage: Eukaryota; Metazoa; Chordata; Mammalia; Primates; Hylobatidae.